RNAcentral lists this ribosomal RNA (481 nucleotides) under Peptostreptococcaceae bacterium canine oral taxon 125. RNAcentral describes it as "bacterial SSU rRNA". It matches the Rfam family "Bacterial small subunit ribosomal RNA", at positions 9 to 474 of the family's 1533-position model. The record is from RNAcentral. Lineage: Bacteria; Bacillati; Bacillota; Clostridia; Peptostreptococcales; Peptostreptococcaceae.
GAGUUUGAUUCUGGCUCAGGAGGAACGCUGGCGGCGUGCCUAACACAUGCAAGUCGAGCGAGAAAUAGUCAGACGGAGAUUUCGGUUGAAGGAUGGUUAUGGAAAGCGGCGGACGGGUGAGUAACGCGUAGGCAACCUGCCUCAUGCAGAGGGAUAGCCUCGGGAAACCGGGAUUAAAACCUCAUAAGGCCAAGGGGACACAUGUUUUCGUGGUCAAAGAUUUAUCGGCAUGAGAUGGGCCUGCGUCUGAUUAGCUGGUUGGUGAGGUAACGGCUCACCAAGGCGACGAUCAGUAGCCGACCUGAGAGGGUAAACGGCCACAUUGGAACUGAGACACGGUCCAAACUCCUACGGGAGGCAGCAGUGGGGAAUAUUGCACAAUGGGCGAAAGCCUGAUGCAGCAACGCCGCGUGAGCGAAGAAGGCCUUUGGGUCGUAAAGCUCUGUCGAUAGGGAAGAAGACGAUGACGUACCNUCAGACG